Molecule: long non-coding RNA, 426 nt
Filed under: Bos taurus (domestic cattle)
Lineage: Eukaryota; Metazoa; Chordata; Mammalia; Artiodactyla; Bovidae
Description: long non-coding RNA NONBTAT006104
Source: RNAcentral
GAGGGUAGGACCACGUGUAAAUGGCUUUUGGCCGUACUUCUCAGUGUCCUUAUUGGGGAUCUCUUGGCAGCUGGAAAAGCUGCUUGGUAUUUAAGUUUAACUGAUACUUGUAAGAGUUUUGAAGAAGGCGGCUAAGGAUUGAGGGCGAGCCCAGUGUCUUUGAAUGGACCUGGUGCCAGUCUGUCACCCAGUAAAUGUGUCUUUUCCUUUGUUCAUCCUCUGUCAUGCUCUGACUUGCCUUAGUUUUCUCCGCGGCAUCUCUGAGGCCGCCUAGCAGCCAAAUGCGACCCUCCAGGCAGGUGCUCUCGUAAUAGUGUAAAAAGCAAUCUUCGAACAUCUGUAAGUGGUGUUUAUGUUUUACAUCCCUGAUUUAUCUGAUCAAAUGUUCCAGAAGAAAAUUACAUAUUACGACUUGUUUAACAGCCU